This 206-nucleotide ribosomal RNA is filed under the name uncultured bacterium. Its description in RNAcentral is "partial 16S ribosomal RNA". It matches the Rfam family "Bacterial small subunit ribosomal RNA", at positions 524 to 730 of the family's 1533-position model. The record is from RNAcentral.
UACGUAGGGUGCGAGCGUUGUCCGGAAUUACUGGGCGUAAAGAGCUCGUAGGUGGUUUGUCGCGUUGUUCGUGAAAACUCACAGCUUAACUGUGGGCGUGCGGGCGAUACGGGCAGACUGGAGUACUGCAGGGGAGACUGGAAUUCCUGGUGUAGCGGUGGAAUGCGCAGAUAUCAGGAGGAACACCGGUGGCGAAGGCGGGCUCU